UUCAAGCCACAGACACGAAAAUAAUCCAAUUUUCCCAAGAAAUAAGCAAUGAACGUAAUGAUCAAUCUUGAAUUUCAGUAAACAAACAAAUGUCCCAUCAAACAAGUUUCAUUUUUUUCCCUACUACAAAACUACAGAAUCCCAUUAAUAAAAAGUCCUCAAAUCAAACAUUCAAUCAAAUAGCCUUUUCCUCAAUCCCCAGACACCCCCGGAA
This 214-nucleotide long non-coding RNA is filed under the name Gossypium barbadense (sea-island cotton). RNAcentral's name for it is "long non-coding RNA (GBAR_LNC015036)". Lineage: Eukaryota; Viridiplantae; Streptophyta; Magnoliopsida; Malvales; Malvaceae. The record is from RNAcentral.